RNAcentral lists this ribosomal RNA (241 nucleotides) under uncultured bacterium. RNAcentral describes it as "partial 16S ribosomal RNA". It matches the Rfam family "Bacterial small subunit ribosomal RNA", at positions 15 to 248 of the family's 1533-position model. The record is from RNAcentral.
GAUUAUGGCUCAGGAUGAACGCUAGCUACAGGCUUAACACAUGCAAGUCGAGGGGCAGCAUGAACUUAGCUUGCUAAGUUUGAUGGCGACCGGCGCACGGGUGAGUAACACGUAUCCAACCUGCCGAUGACUCGGGGAUAGCCUUUCGAAAGAAAGAUUAAUACCCGAUGGCAUAGUUCUUCCGCAUGGUAGAACUAUUAAAGAAUUUCGGUCAUCGAUGGGGAUGCGUUCCAUUAGGUUG